UACGUAGGGAGCAAGCGUUGUCCGGAAUCAUUGGGCGUAAAGCGCGCGUAGGCGGCUCGAUCAGUCUGUUGUGAAAGUCAAAGGCUCAACCUUUGAAUGCCGAUGGAUACUGUCGAGCUAGAGUCCGGAAGAGGCGGGUGGAAUUCCUGGUGUAGCGGUGGAAUGCGCAGAUAUCAGGAGGAACACCAACGGCGAAGGCAGCCCGCUGGGACGGUACUGACGCUAAGGCGCGAAAGCGUGGGGAGCGAGCAGG
RNAcentral lists this ribosomal RNA (253 nucleotides) under uncultured bacterium. Its description in RNAcentral is "partial 16S ribosomal RNA". It matches the Rfam family "Bacterial small subunit ribosomal RNA", at positions 524 to 776 of the family's 1533-position model. The record is from RNAcentral.